Molecule: long non-coding RNA, 675 nt
Organism: Homo sapiens (human)
Lineage: Eukaryota; Metazoa; Chordata; Mammalia; Primates; Hominidae
Source: Ensembl
AGCACUUCGGGAGACUGAGGCGGGCAGAUCACGAGGUCCGGAGAUUGAGACCAUCCUGGCCAACAUGGUGAAACCCCGUCUCUACUAAAAAUACAAAAAUUAGCUGGGCGUGGUGGCUCAUGCCUGUAAUCCCAGCUACUCAGGAGGCUGAGGCAGGAGAAUCGCUUGAACCAGGGAGUCCAAGGUUGCAGGGAGCCGAGAUCGCACCACUGCACUCCAGCCUGGCGACAGAAUAGGAAAAAUGGAAUGAAGCCAAUUCACCAAUCAUCAAAAGAAAGUCACUGAAAACCAAUUUGUUGACCUAUGUAUUGUUGGUGUCAGAGGAAAAGGGGUCAAGGGAGGAAAGCUGAAAAGUGCUGGUGAAUGAAACAACUCAUUUACUUUGAACUUCUUGAAAGACUAACCAGGAAGAUCCGGAUAAAGACACUGUCUGCACUCUACUCAGAUGCCCUUUGAGUCUAUGCGCUGUUUCUGGGCUCAUCCUCCAGCCUCAACGUGUUUGCUGCCACACAGCAUGUCCUGUGGGACUGGAGAAAUAUGGAGAAUGCAGCACACUUGCUUCCUACUGAAACAUUCGAACAGGGAAUUACUCCUCCCAAGAAUAUUCUUCCAAGGAAAUCCCUGAAAAACCAGAUGGCAGAAGUUACUCAGAAGAAAUGAAAGGAUUUUCCAUUA